RNAcentral lists this long non-coding RNA (1206 nucleotides) under Bos indicus x Bos taurus (hybrid cattle). RNAcentral's name for it is "lncRNA (ENSBIXG00000016611.1)". Lineage: Eukaryota; Metazoa; Chordata; Mammalia; Artiodactyla; Bovidae. The record is from RNAcentral.
AUGGAGCGGCGAGGCUGGGGUAGGGGCCUCCGGUCCUUCGCCUGCAGCGCGAACUCCCGCUCUGCCCGGGGACCCGUACCCACCUGGAAGCCUGCGCCGCAGCCGCCUCGGCACGCUCACCCAGGCGGCCCGGCCGCGGGCCCUCCGGCCGGCGCUUUUCUCGGCGCGGCGUGGCCCGCCCCCCGGCCCCCACCCGCCCUCCCAGCGCCCAGUGGCGGCUCCGGCCGGCCGCCCGGCGACUUAGGGAGUGUCGCUAAAGUGCUGGCCUUUCCCGGCGCGCUCCCCACUCCGCGCCCCCGCCCGCCGGCAGAGCCCGUGCCCAGCCCGGGUUCCACCCUAGGGAGCGUCUCAAAAGUGCGCAUGCAGCUCCCUCCCACUCUAGUCGGCCUUGCUCCUAGCUUUCUGCAUCCCGGGGUCCCUGCCCGCUUCCCCGGAGCGCCUGAGCCUUCUCAGCAGAUGGCCGCACGGUCGGGAACAUCUGGAGGCUCCAACCACAGAGGCUGGAGGCUCUACGCCCCUCCAAAGGGCCUCUCUCACAACAGAAGCCUAACAAACCACCUUUCACACCUUGGCCGGCAGCUGGCAGCAGUUUCAGUGUACUGCUACAUUCAUCAUUUCCCUUGCUUGAUCUUUUCUCAGUGGGAGGUGGCCUCUGGAGACUUUGGAUUGGGCAUCUCCAUCAGCCCUCCCCCCUUCCCCCACAGUGGUCCUUUGGCCUCCAGGCCCCUCCUCCUGUCUGCUGUUCCUGCUGCAGUAAAAAUGACCUUUUUAAACUGCAAAUCUGCAAAAUGGAUCAGGAUGCUUGCCCCCUUAAAACCUUUUAAUGGCAAAAGUCAAACUCCUUGGCUUCACAUUCAAGGCCCCUGUAAUAUGUUCCCCUGGAUCCUAGCUUUUCACUUCUGGUCGCUCCCCUUUUACACAUCCCAAGCUCCAGUCCUCUAAGUCACAUGAAACGAGAGGGAGAGAGGGAAGGGAAGGAAGGGCCUCUGAAUUCUUCAAAUCUCUGUCCAAAUUUCCCUCCCCCAGAAACCCAAUGCCUGGUGAAUUUGGUCCCUCCUUCUAUUCUGCCGCUACACCCUUUGCACAUAUGCGCUACCACUUUCCCCAUUCUCUUCCCCUUCUUGUGGUCACAUAGUUGCCAAAAUCUUGACCCCCUGUCACCCAGGGCUGAAUAAAAAACGUGCGGAGACAGAGUUUGGAAGAAAU